Mycena galericulata is the source of this 81-nucleotide non-coding RNA. NCBI's taxonomy places the organism in Eukaryota, Fungi, Basidiomycota, Agaricomycetes, Agaricales, Mycenaceae. The record is from the annotation of a GenBank genome assembly.
UCAGACAUGGUGUACUGAACAUGGCCUCCCCACGCAUAUCGAUGGAUGAGGCAGAUCUGGGUUCGACUCCCGGUGUCUGAC